Xenia sp. Carnegie-2017 is the source of this 394-nucleotide long non-coding RNA. RefSeq lists it as uncharacterized. The record is from RefSeq and is a predicted model, not a curated record. NCBI's taxonomy places the organism in Eukaryota, Metazoa, Cnidaria, Anthozoa, Malacalcyonacea, Xeniidae. The transcript is spliced from 3 exons.
UCUCGAUUCAUACCGUUCGGGUUGGAAGGUUGAAUUUCCAAUUUUCAGCUAACAAUCUCCUUAAAACUUGUACAACAGGUCUUUCUUUGGUCCGUUAGAGGCAUGUAGAAUGAUAAUCACUGACAAAUACUCACUUAAAAAUAUGUUUCUGCUGUUGUGACCAGUUCACAGUUUGUAGCUUCACGCGUUUCUUUGUGGAUAUUCAUAACAGAUUUCGCGACAUUUUUUUUUAAGUUGUGUUUGCCUUUUUUUAGAUUCAACAAGAACUUGAAGAACAGAAAAAGAUUGCUGAGGAGACAAAAAUCAAGCUUAUGAAAGUCACAAACAUCCUGUGUACUUCGAAACCAAACGAAAAUGAUGUAAAACAACGUAAGCAACGUCGCUGGACCGUUUG